GAGGACGUUGCCAGUGGGUACUGGACGCUGCCUUUCAAGCAGUCGAGUGGCCAAGUCAGCCAUUACGGUUCGAGUCCGUCGUCCUCCGCA
This 90-nucleotide transfer RNA is filed under the name Candidatus Sulfotelmatobacter kueseliae. RNAcentral's name for it is "Pseudo tRNA". Lineage: Bacteria; Pseudomonadati; Acidobacteriota; Terriglobia; Terriglobales; Candidatus Korobacteraceae. The record is from RNAcentral.